This 253-nucleotide ribosomal RNA is filed under the name uncultured bacterium. Its description in RNAcentral is "partial 16S ribosomal RNA". It matches the Rfam family "Bacterial small subunit ribosomal RNA", at positions 524 to 776 of the family's 1533-position model. The record is from RNAcentral.
UACGGGGGGGGUAAGCGUUGUUCGGAAUUACUGGGCGUAAAGGGCUCGUAGGCGGCCAACUAAGUCAGGCGUGAAAUCCCUCAGCUUAACUGGGGAACUGCGUCUGAUACUGGAUGGCUUGGAUUCGGGAGAGGAAUGCGGAAUUCCAGGUGUAGCGGUGAAAUGCGUAGAUAUCUGGAGGAACACCGGUGGCGAAGGCGGUUCUCUGGGCCUUACCUGACGCUGAGGAGCGAAAGCGUGGGGAGCGAACAGG